This 243-nucleotide ribosomal RNA is filed under the name uncultured bacterium. RNAcentral's name for it is "partial 16S ribosomal RNA". It matches the Rfam family "Bacterial small subunit ribosomal RNA", at positions 118 to 363 of the family's 1533-position model. The record is from RNAcentral.
UGAGCAACCUGCCCUUGGCUUUGGGAUAACCCUCGGAAACGGGGCUAAUACCGAAUGUUCACUGCUGGACGCAUGUUUGGUGGUGGAAAGUUUUUCGGCUGGGGAUGGGCUCGCGGCCUAUCAGCUUGUUGGUGGGGUGAUGGCCUACCAAGGCGACGACGGGUAGCCGGCCUGAGAGGGCGACCGGCCACACUGGGACUGAGACACGGCCCAGACUCCUACGGGAGGCAGCAGUGGGGAAUA